This 867-nucleotide ribosomal RNA is filed under the name Triticum aestivum (bread wheat). Its description in RNAcentral is "partial small subunit ribosomal RNA". Lineage: Eukaryota; Viridiplantae; Streptophyta; Magnoliopsida; Poales; Poaceae. The record is from RNAcentral.
AUGUCAGGAGGUAGGCAGACAUAUUGGUGCUUCCAGUGUAGACAGCGGGUUAGGCCGCGUGGACGGGAAAUGGAGUGUCCUUACUGUGAUGCUGGCUUUGUGGCUGAAAUGGAUGAUGUCGAUGCUCUCAUGAGCCAGUUUGUUGGGAUGUAUAGUGAUUUUCAUCGUGACCCAAGGUUUGGGAUCAUGGAAGCAAUGUCUACCGUGAUGCGACAUGGAAUGGGGAGCAUGAAUCGAGAGGCUGAUGUAAGAGGAAGGCCAAGCAUAUUAUCUGACCUGGAGAUGGAAUUUGGUUCAGGGCCAUGGUUGCUCUUCCGUGGCCAGCUCCCUGGUCAUCUCUCAGAGGCCAAUAAUGGUUUCGACGUUUUCGUCAAUGGACGCCGUGGUGUUGGCACGCGGAGGGCAGAUGUUGCAGAUUACUUUGUUGGGCCUGGAUUAGAAGAUCUAAUUGAGCAGUUGACUCAUAAUGAUCGUCGAGGGCCACCACCUGCCUCUCAGUCAUCGAUAGAUGCCAUGCCUAGUGUUAGGAUCACUGCUAGGCAUCUCACUGGAGACUCGCAUUGCCCUGUCUGCAAGGACAAGUUUGAACUGGAAUCGGAAGCAAGAGAGAUGCCAUGCAAGCAUUUAUACCACUCUGAUUGCAUACUUCCUUGGCUAGAACAACACAAUUCCUGUCCUGUUUGCCGAUAUGAGCUGCCAACACAGAGCUCUAGUGGUGCCAGCUGCUCACGCUCAAGAUCAACCAACCAAAAUGACAGUUCAAGCAGCUCAAGUAGCAGUGGGAGAACCAGUGGGCGUCAGAGAAGGAAUCCGUUCUCGUUCCUAUGGCCUUUCCGCUCAUCAAGUUCUAGCACUGGUUCUCGUUAG